RNAcentral lists this ribosomal RNA (264 nucleotides) under uncultured bacterium. RNAcentral's name for it is "partial 16S ribosomal RNA". It matches the Rfam family "Bacterial small subunit ribosomal RNA", at positions 90 to 354 of the family's 1533-position model. The record is from RNAcentral.
UCUUAGUGGCGGACGGGUGAGUAACGCGUGGGGAACCUGCCCUGUACAGGGGGAUAACACUUAGAAAUAGGUGCUAAUACCGCAUAAGCGCACAGUAUCGCAUGAUACAGUGUGAAAAACUCCGGUGGUACAGGAUGGACCCGCGUCUGAUUAGCUGGUUGGCGGGGUAACGGCCCACCAAGGCGACGAUCGGUAGCCGGCCUGAGAGGGUGAACGGCCACAUUGGGACUGAGACACGGCCCAAACUCCUACGGGAGGCAGCAG